Molecule: ribosomal RNA, 203 nt
Filed under: uncultured Chlamydiales bacterium
Lineage: Bacteria; Pseudomonadati; Chlamydiota; Chlamydiia; Chlamydiales
Description: partial 16S ribosomal RNA
Rfam family: Bacterial small subunit ribosomal RNA
Source: RNAcentral
CCAACACUGGGACUGAGACACUGCCCAGACUUCUACGGAAGGCUGCAGUCGAGAAUCUUUCGCAAUGGGCGCAAGCCUGACGAAGCGACGCUGUGUGAGUGAUGAAGGCCUUCGGGUUGUAAAACUCUUUCGCAUGGGAACAAGAGACUUGUGUGAAUAACAUAGGAAUCAGAGGGUACCGUGUAAAGAAGCACCGGCUAACU